GACGAACGCGGCGGCGUGCCUAAUACAUGCAAGUAGAACGCUGAAGCCUGGUGCUUGCACCGAGCGGAUGAGUUGCGAACGGGUGAGUAACGCGUAGGUAACCUGCCUGGUAGCGGGGGAUAACUAUUGGAAACGAUAGCUAAUACCGCAUAAGAGUAGAUAUUGCAUGACAUUUGCUUAAAAGGUGCAAUUGCAUCACUACCAGAUGGACCUGCGUUGUAUUAGCUAGUUGGUGAGGUAACGGCUCACCAAGGCAACGAUACAUAGCCGACCCGAGAGGGUGAUCGGCCACACUGGGACUGAGACACGGCCCAGACUCCUACGGGAGGCAGCAGUAGGGAAUCCUCGGCAAUGGACGGAAGUCUGACCGAGCAACGCCGCGUGAGUGAAGAAGGUUUUCGGAUCGUAAAGCUCUGUUGUAAGAGAAGAACGAGUGUGAGAGUGGAAAGUUCACACUGUGACGGUAUCUUACCAGAAAGGGACGGCUAACUACGUGCCAGCAGCCGCGGUAAUACGUAGGUCCCGAGCGUUGUCCGGAUUUAUUGGGCGUAAAGCGAGCGCAGGCGGUUAGAUAAGUCUGAAGUUAAAGGCUGUGGCUUAACCAUAGUACGCUUUGGAAACUGUUUAACUUGAGUGCAAGAGGGGAGAGUGGAAUUCCAUGUGUAGCGGUGAAAUGCGUAGAUAUAUGGAGGAACACCGGUGGCGAAAGCGGCUCUCUGGCUUGUAACUGACGCUGAGGCUCGAAAGCGUGGGGAGCAAACAGG
This 764-nucleotide ribosomal RNA is filed under the name uncultured Streptococcus sp. RNAcentral describes it as "bacterial SSU rRNA". It matches the Rfam family "Bacterial small subunit ribosomal RNA", at positions 28 to 776 of the family's 1533-position model. The record is from RNAcentral. Lineage: Bacteria; Bacillati; Bacillota; Bacilli; Lactobacillales; Streptococcaceae.